RNAcentral lists this transfer RNA (76 nucleotides) under Actinidia chinensis (golden kiwifruit). RNAcentral's name for it is "tRNA-Lys". It matches the Rfam family "tRNA". Rfam says of the family: Transfer RNA (tRNA) molecules are approximately 80 nucleotides in length. Their secondary structure includes four short double-helical elements and three loops (D, anti-codon, and T loops). Further hydrogen bonds mediate the characteristic L-shaped molecular structure. tRNAs have two regions of fundamental functional importance: the anti-codon, which is responsible for specific mRNA codon recognition, and the 3' end, to which the tRNAs corresponding amino acid is attached (by aminoacyl-tRNA synthetases). tRNAs cope with the degeneracy of the genetic code in two manners: having more than one tRNA (with a specific anti-codon) for a particular amino acid; and 'wobble' base-pairing, i.e. permitting non-standard base-pairing at the 3rd anti-codon position. The record is from RNAcentral. Lineage: Eukaryota; Viridiplantae; Streptophyta; Magnoliopsida; Ericales; Actinidiaceae.
GCCACGAUAGAAUAACGAAAGUUCCCCCUCUUCUUACUAGGAGUUGGAAGUGCAGGUUUGAGUCCUGCUCGUGGCU